This is a long non-coding RNA of Ictalurus punctatus (channel catfish), 411 nucleotides long. RefSeq lists it as uncharacterized. The record is from RefSeq and is a predicted model, not a curated record. The transcript has 2 exons. Lineage: Eukaryota; Metazoa; Chordata; Actinopteri; Siluriformes; Ictaluridae.
CGCCAGUAAGCCCACAGGUGAACCGGAAGUCAUGUCAUAUGUAUACAGCACGGCCCGCAGGCGUAUCGCUGGAAGACUCCGGGUACAGAAACUCCUUUAAAAGCAAUUUCAGCAUUGGACUCAUUUCCUUCCUUUUUGGCCUCUCCUUCACUUGCUGUUUGGAAGUCAUCUGAUUCAGCGACUGUCAUUCUGCAUUUCUGUUUCGUUGCUUACAUUUUGAACCCUUAGCAAUAACAAAAGUUUUCCAUUUGUGCAUUCAAGUUUGUUUUUCCUUGAUUUAAUGUGCUUGUGUGAGUAUUUGCCACGUGACCAUUAUUUAUUUCACAGUACUUCAUAUAUGGUAGUAUGCCAAGUCUCUGCUGCUUAUAAACAUUGUCAUUAAUUAAAAAUUUGUAAUCAGUUAAUAUAUAA